RNAcentral lists this ribosomal RNA (407 nucleotides) under uncultured bacterium. RNAcentral describes it as "partial 16S ribosomal RNA". It matches the Rfam family "Bacterial small subunit ribosomal RNA", at positions 28 to 526 of the family's 1533-position model. The record is from RNAcentral.
GAUGAACGCUAGCGAUAGGCUUAACACAUGCAAGUCGAGGGACCGGCGCACGGGUGCGUGACGCGUAUGCAACUUGCCUCACAGAGGGGGAUAACCCGUCGAAAGACGGACUAAUACCGCGUACUGUGAGAUAGGCAUGCGUCCCAUUAGCUAGUUGGUGAGGUAACGGCGCACCAAGGCAACGAUGGGUAGGGGAACUGAGAGGUUGAACGCCCAGACUGGUACUGGGACACGGCCCAGACUCGUACGGGAGGCAGCAGUGAGGAAUAUUGGUCAAUGGGCGAGAGCCUGAACCAGCCAAGUCGCGUGAAGGAUGACUGUCUAUGGAUUGUAAACUUCUUUUGUAGGGGAAUAUGUACCCUACGAAUAAGCAUCGGCUAACUCCGUGCCAGCAGCCGCGGUAAUUC